AAAAGUGCCACCUUCUGGUUGAACAUGAGACCCAAAAACUGAAAGCCUUGGAGGAAAACUACAACCUGACCCUCAAGGAUUGGCGAGAUAAACUUAGGCCAAGAAAAAAGGCACUAGAAGAUGAACUGAAUCAGAAAAAGCGAGAACAAGAUAUGUUUUUCAAACUCAGUGAAGAAACCAAUGGUCUGUCUCCUAUGUCACCAAACAAGCCUGCUAAAUUUGUCCCAUUCAGCUCCGCAGAGGCUUCAUAAUACUUGGGGUUAAGAAGGCAAGGCUUGGUAAUUCUUGCCUUUGCCUGUUGGAGAGAAAUCAGCAGACGGGGCUCCUUCCUCUCUUUGCCAACUCUGAUCAGAGUUUCCUGUUCUGUUGUGUGCCAGAUAGUCAAUGUGGAUCAACCUGAUCCACUAGCAAUGAGGCAGGUUCACAUAUAGGUUAGAAGCAAGCUGUGGCAAGCUUCAAGAGGACCAGCUGAUGGGGUCAACUAUAGAACCUACAUUGCUUGCUGAAUCCUUCCCCAGCCAGUUUUACCAUUUCCUAAAGGGACAGUGGAAAGGAUCUAAGAGAAGAUUAAUUACAGUAUUGGUUUAAUUUUCCAAGUUAGCUUUCCUGUGUGUCUGAGCUUAAUGAGUAGGUGGUUUUACUCAAGAGUAGAACUUUGAGACUCAAUAGUAGAUGAUGUUUACCUGUGAUAGCCUUUAAGAUGACAGUAAACCAUCACCACCCUUGUGAAUUAAGCAAAAGACUGUUUUUUUGUUCUGUGCUUCCUUUUUGGAAUUGAUCAGCAUCUUCCAAACAGCUUGCAACAUAAUUUGCAUUUUUUUUCUUUGAUAUAGAAUAGCCUGACAUUUAAAAGCAAAGCAGUCUUAAAACAAACAGGGUAGCCAGAGGAAUGAAUUUCUAUCCUGGUGAAGGUUGAGUGGAGACUGUGGAAAAUGCUUCCAAUCUGGGCUGUGUUUAAAUAAACAGACUUGCCCAAGCUAAAUGGUUGUAAAUGUACAGUAAGGAAGAAUGAUCUUUCUCUGCUUUGUCAAUCACCUGUGAUCCCAGUAGCUUCUCUUUUCAGAUGCAGCAUUGCACCUUUGAUUUACCUGUGUGCUAGUGAACCAGAAUUCCCUUUCUUUCCACAGUCAAGGAUGAAUCCUCUGCUGAAUUAAUGGAAAGAGCCUAGUGUUUAUUCCUUAGGUAAAUUAAAGAGGAGCAACCCCAGAUGUCUAUGACAACAAAUGUGUAGCUGGAUUAAGAUUGAAGGCACUUUGCUUUGUAUCAAAUUGUAUAUGAUUUUCAAGUUUUCACAGAGCAGCAAAUGCUAGCUUAGGGAUUUUUCUCCUGCUAAAUGAUUGGGUGUGCUCAGAAUUGAAAACACGAUUUUGAAAUAAAGCAAUGCUGGAUUGCUAUGAGUAAUUCCAGCCUUUGCAGUUUUUUCUGAAUCAAUAGAAAGGGCCACCUAAGAGAAGCCACAGGUUGUAGAAUAUAUUAUUAUAUAUUUGAAAUGCUAAAGCAGUAUUUCAGUAUUUCAAACUUUUUUCUACAAAUGCUAUUUUUGACCAAAGAGAUCUCUUUUCUUUCCCUCCCACAUGUUUCGAUUUAUUUAAUAUACAUUCCCAAAGGUUUUGUCCUCUUUGCUAGUUUGCAUUUCCCUAUGAGUUAUAUCUAAAUUGUUGUUUUCUCAUUGAUGAAGUAUAAUUCACACAAAUUUCAAUUUGAGCAACCAGCUAUAUGCGCCAAGUGCAUUGUUUGGUACUUGUUUAGCUAUAAGUCCAAACAGAAAGCUGAUACAAUUCCAUUUUCACCAUCUCAGAACAGUGCACAUCUAUGGAGAGAACAUGGUCCAGUGUUCCUUUUGGUGAUCAGUAUAGGGUUGUUCUAAGCACAGCUCGGCGCCCUCUCAGUAGGAAAAAAUGGUUUUGUUUUCUUAUGCACUGUUCUUUGGAGCACUGCUGCUAAUGACCUGGUUUCUGUGCUGACAGCUAAUUUGUUGGAAUGUCAAUUGAAGUUUAGUAAACUAGUGGCUGCUGACAGAGCCAGCCAUAAUGUGUCAAGGAUUAUAUUAAAGGUGGCAGGGUAAAAAUACAAUCUGAAAGAAAUGUCUGCAAAAAGAAUACUGGAAAUUAGACGUUUGUAAGGAGUGUGUGUGUGUGUGUUCACAAAGCACUUUAAAUCCCUCUUCAAACUGUUUGGGAUCUUUGUGUGUUAAGAUAAGGUGUGAGGAGAGAGAGAGAGAGAGAGAAAAGGGAACGAUGCCUGCACAUGAAUGUUGAAAGUAAAGGCAAAUUUUCUUUAAACGAAGAAUGAUGGAUGCCUUGUGUCUUGGGUGCAUUGGUUUGUAUGCACAUUCCUGCUUUUUCCUCUCUUGGCUAAGAAAAAGCAAAUAAUGGCAUACACUCACAAUUGCUUUUUCUCUCUUCCCUUCCCUUGCCAAACUGAUCCUAAUUGUUCCCUAAGGGACUGGAACUUCCCUCUGUGCAAUAUGCACUUUCCAGUUUUUCCAGGAAGGUUAUUGAAAGAAAAAAGUAUCUUUUCCCUUCUUGAAACACUUGUUAACCUAUGGGGGAAAUUUGGGGGGGGGGGAGGUUCAUCGGGAGAGGGUGGGGAGAGAGAAGGUAUUUUGUAUUUUUAUAGGGGUUUUUUGAAAAAAAAUCUCACGGAUUUUCUCUCUUUUGGUUACCACGAUGAUGUAAAUAAUCUAAUAAAAUAUGAACCACUAAGCCUUUGCAUUGCGAUCCAGAAUUGCAUUCCUGCUGUGUGUCUCUUUAGGUCAGCAGUGCUGAGCUGUAUUUAAACAUGAUCUUGGCUUGGCUACAGUGGAAUUGUGUUUCAGGAUUCUGUUGAUUGGUAUUAAAAAAAAAAAAAACUAAGUCCACAGCUUGCUGGCCCUGUACAAAGUGUUUUUUUAAAAUAUAGAUGGUCUUACUUGAAAAUAUCUGUACUGUAUUGGAAUGUGUUAAUAUUAAACUAUUAAUUCUUGAAGCAAA
Molecule: non-coding RNA, 2972 nt
Organism: Thamnophis sirtalis
Lineage: Eukaryota; Metazoa; Chordata; Lepidosauria; Squamata; Natricidae
Source: RefSeq, a predicted model, not a curated record